GUUUUUAUAAUUUAAAUAAAAAUAUUGAUCUUGUAAAUCAAUAAUAAGAGUAAAUCUUUAAAAACU
This 66-nucleotide transfer RNA is filed under the name Hydropsyche gautamittra. RNAcentral's name for it is "tRNA-Thr". The record is from RNAcentral. Lineage: Eukaryota; Metazoa; Arthropoda; Insecta; Trichoptera; Hydropsychidae.